This 258-nucleotide unclassified non-coding RNA is filed under the name uncultured fungus. RNAcentral describes it as "partial contains 5.8S ribosomal RNA, internal transcribed spacer 2, and large subunit ribosomal RNA". RNAcentral also lists the same sequence under 1 other name. The record is from RNAcentral. Lineage: Eukaryota; Fungi.
AACGCACAUUGCGCCCCUCGGUAUUCCGUGGGGCAUGCCUGUUCGAGCGUCAUUUACAACCCUUCAAGCUCUGCUUGGUGUUGGGCGUUUGUCCGCGCCUCUCCGCGCGUGGACUCGCCCCAAAGGCAUUGGCAGCCCCGGCCGACGAACGCCCUCGCAGCACAACUUGCGCAGGGACCGGCGGCGUCGGGUGGCGACCCAUCAAGAUCUCCUUCCACGUUUGACCUCGGAUCAGGUAGGGAUACCCGCUGAACUUAA